Molecule: ribosomal RNA, 2021 nt
Filed under: marine metagenome
Description: bacterial LSU rRNA
Rfam family: Bacterial large subunit ribosomal RNA
Source: RNAcentral
CCAAUCGAAUCCGGAGCUAGCUGGUUCUCCCCGAAAUGCGUUUAGGCGCAGCGGUAAAUGUUAUAAUUUAGGGGUAAAGCACUGUUACGUAUGCGGGCUGGUAAUUCGGUACCAAAUCGUUGCAAACUAAGAAUACUAAAUGUACAAUUUACCAGUAAGACUGUGGGGGAUAAGCUCCAUUGUCAAGAGGGAAACAGCCCAGAGCACCAGUUAAGGCCCCUAAAUAAUUACUAAGUGGUAAAGGAGGUGGGAGUGCAUAGACAAUCAGGAGGUUUGCUUAGAAGCAGCAAUCCUUUAAAGAGUGCGUAAUAGCUCACUGAUCGAGUAAACCUGCGCCGAAAAUGUACGGGACUAAGUAAUUUGCCGAAACUGUGCGAUAUAUAUUUAUUAUAUAUCGGUAGGGGAGCGUUCUGUUGUAGGUUGAAGUAUUAGCGUAAGCGGGUAUGGACGAAGCAGAAGUGAGAAUGUCGGCUUGAGUAACGAAAAUAUAGGUGAGAAUCCUAUACCCCGAAAACCCAAGGUUUCCUCCGGAAGGCUCGUCCGCGGAGGGUAAGUCAGGGCCUAAGGCGAGGCUGAAAAGCGUAGUCGAUGGAUAACGGGUUAAUAUUCCCGUACCAUUAUUUAUUGAUAUCGAGGGACGGAGAAGGCUAAGCUGGCCGGAUAUUGGUUACCGGUUUAAGUGUUCAAGGUUAUGAGAAACGGCGAAAACGUUUUGAGCUGAGACAUGACGACGAGAUGCUACGGCGUUGAAGCAGUGUAUGUCAUACUUCCAAGAAAAGCUCGCACUGUCAUAAAUAAAUAAUGCCUGUACCAUAACCGACACAGGUGGGUAGGUAGAGUAUACUAAGGGGCGCGAGAUAACUCUCUCUAAGGAACUCGGCAAAAUAACUCCGUAACUUCGGGAGAAGGAGUGCCUUAUUUUUAAGGUUGCAAUAACAAGAUCCAAGCAACUGUUUAUCAAAAACACAGGUCUCCGCUAAGUCGUAAGACGAUGUAUGGGGGCUGACGCCUGCCCAGUGCCAGAAGGUUAAAGAAGUUGGUUAGCAUUUGCGAAGCUGAUAACUGAAGCCCUGGUGAACGGCGGCCGUAACUAUAACGGUCCUAAGGUAGCGAAAUUCCUUGUCGGGUAAGUUCCGACCCGCACGAAAGGCGUAAUGAUUUGGAUGCUGUCUCGGAGAGGGGCUCGGUGAAAUAGACUUGUCUGUGAAGAUGCGGACUACCUGCACCAGGACAGAAAGACCCUAUGAAGCUUUACUGUAACUUGAAAUUGAAAUUGGACUUUAUUCGCGCAGUAUAGGUGGGAGGCGUUGAUUAUAAUCUUGCGGGAUUAUUGGAGCCAUCAGUGAGAUACCACUCUUGUAAUGUUAGAUUUCUAACUUUGAAUCAUUAUCUGGUCAAAGGACAGUUUCAGGCGGGCAGUUUGACUGGGGCGGUCGCCUCCUAAACGGUAACGGAGGCGUACAAAGGUUUCCUCUGAACGGGUAGAAAUCGUAUCUAGAGUGUAAAGGCAUAAGGAAGCUUGACUGUGAGACCUACAAGUCGAGCAGGGACGAAAGUCGGUCUUAGUGAUCUGACGGUGCUGAGUGGAAAGGCCGUCACUCAACGGAUAAAAGUUACUCUAGGGAUAACAGGCUGAUCUCCCCCAAGAGUUCACAUCGACGGGGAGGUUUGGCACCUCGAUGUCGGCUCAUCGCAUCCUGGGGCUGGAGUAGGUCCCAAGGGUUGGGCUGUUCGCCCAUUAAAGCGGUACGCGAGCUGGGUUCAGAACGUCGUGAGACAGUUCGGUCCAUAUCCGGUGUAGGCGUUAGAAUAUUGAGAGGAGCCUUCUUUAGUACGAGAGGACCGAGAAGGACAUACCUCUGGUGUACCAGUUAUCGUGCCAACGGUAAACGCUGGGUAGCUAUGUAUGGAGUGGAUAACCGCUGAAAGCAUCUAAGUGGGAAGCCCACCUCAAGAUGAGUAUUCUCAUCACGUAAGUGAGUAAGGUCACGGUAAGACUAACCGUUUGAUAGGCAUUAAGU